AACACACUGUGCUUGCACACCGUGUUUUCUUGAGUCCGCGAACGGGUGAGUAACGCGUAGGUAACCUGCCUAUUAGCGGGGGAUAACUAUUGGAAACGAUAGCUAAUACCGCAUAAUAUUAAUUAUUGCAUGAUAAUUGAUUGAAAGAUGCAAGCGCAUCACUAGUAGAUGGACCUGCGUUGUAUUAGCUAGUUGGUAAGGUAAGAGCUUACCAAGGCGACGAUACAUAGCCGACCUGAGAGGGUGAUCGGCCACACUGGGAUGAGACACGGCCCAGACUCCUACGGGAGGCAGCAGUAGGGAAUCUUCGGCAAUGGACGAAAGUCUGACCGAGCAACGCCGCGUGAGUGAAGAAGGUUUUCGGAUCGUAAAGCUCUGUUGUAAGUCAAGAACGUGUGUGAGAGUG
This 406-nucleotide ribosomal RNA is filed under the name Streptococcus mutans. Its description in RNAcentral is "bacterial SSU rRNA". It matches the Rfam family "Bacterial small subunit ribosomal RNA", at positions 67 to 463 of the family's 1533-position model. Lineage: Bacteria; Bacillati; Bacillota; Bacilli; Lactobacillales; Streptococcaceae. The record is from RNAcentral.